GACUUGGGAGUGAGCUGAGGUAAGGACUUAUUUAUGAAAUUGGUUGGCUGGUGCAGAACCCAGCGGGUUUGGAUUAGACGGAAAGACCCCGAGAGCUUGUGUUUUCAUUUUAUUUGGGGAGAAGGCAGGUGUUUCACGUGCUUUUUGAUCCUAGUGUGGAUAAAAGGUUUAAGUUACCUCGGGGAUAACUAGGUAAGAAGCAAGGAGAGGCCUUAUUGAUUUGCUUGGUUGCCAUCUCGAUGUUGACUUGGGAUAAGUGGGGGGAUGCAGCAGUUCCCCUGGAAGGUCUGUUCGACCCUAGAUUCCUUCAUGAGCUGA
Molecule: ribosomal RNA, 318 nt
Filed under: Procerovum sp. 1 AC-2021
Lineage: Eukaryota; Metazoa; Platyhelminthes; Trematoda; Opisthorchiida; Heterophyidae
Description: partial large subunit ribosomal RNA
Rfam family: Bacterial large subunit ribosomal RNA (bases 47-318)
Source: RNAcentral